Molecule: long non-coding RNA, 691 nt
Filed under: Drosophila guanche
Lineage: Eukaryota; Metazoa; Arthropoda; Insecta; Diptera; Drosophilidae
Source: RNAcentral
CGCUGCAUUUUGUUUAGCGACACGUCCCGCGGAUACACCGACACGGCACGGAAUAUGCAGAAAAGCCCCGGAUAUGUGUAUGGAGAUAAUAGGGCAGCUAAACCGACAUUUUUGGCUGCCAGCUCAACAAACCGCGACGCGAACACGGAUACGGGAUCGGGUACGACUACGAGGAAAACGGGGAACACGGUAAACGGCCACAGGGCGGACGACAGUGGCACUCGAUGUUGAGUGUGGGAGGAUGUGGGUACAGCGUAGGUGUUAGUAUUUUAGUUUGCGGCAGGGGCACGUUGCAAGUGGCACGUUGUGAAUUUGCAACUAGCCGUUGGAUUUGCGGCUUUAGCACAAACUCAAUCUGCGUGGACCGAGUCCGAGGUGGCGCCACAAAAGCGGAUGUAAUGCCAGCCAGCGGUUGCACUCGCUCUGGUCAUGUUGAUGCCACACACACUCACACACACACUAGGACACUAGAAUAUUGGCACACCCUUUGACCCUAGACACAGAUUCUCUCCAUAUUUCGGAGCGGGGCUGUACAGUUGUAAAUUAAUUCCGUUUUCACGUUUAGCCUGUGGCUGUUUCGUUUCGUUUAGUUUCGGAGGAUCUCACUGAGGUUCACUUAUGCCCACGAUAUCGUUAUCCUUUCGGGCUAUUCUCUCGGAGCUAUGUCAACCGCGCGAUGCUUGUUCAUUGC